Molecule: long non-coding RNA, 7095 nt
Organism: Bombus huntii
Lineage: Eukaryota; Metazoa; Arthropoda; Insecta; Hymenoptera; Apidae
Exons: 3
Source: RefSeq, a predicted model, not a curated record
GAAAACUUGCCGUUAUUGCAGGUACAGAGGCGAGCAGUCCAUGCAAGUAGGAUAAGCGGAGAAGCGCAAGGAGAAGGAGAAUGGUAGAGAGGAAUUGGGGUAAGAUGAGAUGAGAUGAGAUGAGAUGAGACGAGAUGGGAUGAGAUGAGACCAGAUAAGAUAAAACGAGAUGAGAGGAGACGAGAUGGGACGAGACGAGACGAGACGAGACGAAAUGAGAUGAGAUGAGAUGAGAUGGGAAGAGAGAGAGAGAGAGAGAGAGAGAGAGAAGAUAAAAGAGAGUAGAGAAAAGGAGAAAGAUGGUCGAGUAGGCGAAGAAGAAGCCUAUUUGAUGGGAGGUGGAAGGGUUCGGAGAAAGGAGUUCGCAGGGCAGAUUCCACGCAGAGAUGCGACUCUAGAAGAGUCGAGGGAGAAUGGGGAUGGGAACCGGUGUGCCGAGGUAAGUUAAAUAAACUUGUUUAGUUUCGCGGAAACUUCUGCCUGGCCAUUGUAUUCGACUGCCUCGCUGCCGAGUUUGCUCUGAAACUUUCGAAUACGAACGAACUCGGUUCUCCGUUACGCUUUAUUCGCUUGCUUUACCAACUUGCUACCUACCGUUAGUUACUUCUCUCUCCUUUUCUUUCUUUCUUUCUUUCUUUCUUUCUUUCUUUCCUUCCUUCCUUCUUUCUUUCCUUCUUUCUUUUCUUCUCUUCCUCUUCUUCUCAAGAUCCCAAUGCUUUCUAUAGGCAUAGGCCGUAUAAGCGUACCUCGUUGCUCUAUUUUUUCGUCAUCGCCGUCUCGGCGCUGCGACGCGACCGCGGCGCGCUGUCUCGAUAUCCCAUCACUGCGAACGUUGCCCCCGUAACGUCUUCGCCUUGACCGUUCUUUGUUCUUCGCGUCGCCGCGUUUACGAAAAACAGACGGAAAGAUUUCUCUCUGUCGUUCGCCGUUUCGUCCAGAGAUUAGGCAGAAAAGGGAAUCCGAUCGGAAACAAAAUCGGGCAAAGUGCCCCGUCGCUAGUGUGGCAGCAGACCGAAUGGCUUAUUGAUUUAACGAGAGAGAGAAAGAGGCGAAAGAGAAACAGGAGGAAAGCAAGCACGGGGAAGAACGGGGGAGGCACAGGGGAGCACGGGGAAACACGGCUCGAGGUGGCUGGGGGGUCGCGAGCGGCAGCCUGGGGGAGGUUUGUGGGUGGCUAGGCUGAGACUAGGGAGAGGGUACGGGUACAGGAGAUGGGUAACGCGGAAUAGGCUAGGCGGAGGUGGGGAAGAGGAAGGCUCGCGGGUUCGCUGGCUCGCGAGCUCGGCAACGGAGAAAAGAGUAGGGUGAAGCGCAGGGUGAACCAGGGUGAAUCAAGGUAAGGUAGGGUAAGAUAGGGUCGGGGGCCGAAGAAUAAGGGAUACGGUUGCCAGUGUGCGGUGAUGAAAAGGGCAGAAGGAAAGACCAGAACGAAGCAACGGUAUAGAGACGAUGGUUGGAAGCGAAACCGAAAUCGUCGAGAAACAAUCCGGGACUGGAUAAAAAGCUAAUAACUUGUUUUACCUUCCCGAUCCGAUGCUCUUUCAAAUAUUUUCUCACCUAGGUAUCAUCCGUAUCAUCCGUAUCGCUUCCGACACGUGUACCGACUUGCGCGUACGUAAAUGCACCAGCCGCGUAUAAUACGUACAGCGAUAAUACAUAUCCGAUCUGUGAUUUUCAACUUGUUUGCCUUUUCGCGAUAAACUCUAUAUAUGUCGGAGAUGGAAGGACAGCGGGAUUUCCCGUCCGGAAUGUUGGGAAGAACCCCAAUACCCUAGCCCAGACUUUUACUAUAGCUGCACUUAAGUAAUAAAAAUAAGGAAUAGUUUUAAUGUUCCGAUCUGACUUUGUGACGAUGGGUUCGGGUUCGAAGUGACAUAGCGGGUCACUAGACGUAGCCACGAUCACGGGAGGUGACAGACAGAGUGCCUGACAGAGGUAUGAAACGAUUAUAUGGCUCUCCUUAAAAACAUAGAUUGAUCCGAGAAGUGGGGACAGGAGUAUAUAAGGGCAGCUUCUUUUGGAUGAAGAGAGUUAGUUUGUUAGUUAGUCGUUGGACGAAUUACUGAUCGAGUUAUCGAGAAGUUGCCCGAAUCGAGUAGUACGUUGAUACUUGUCCUCCCGUGGACCGUGGAUUCGUUAUCGAAUCUGAAUUUAUUGUCACCAUCAUCUCGACCAUCCUAUUGCCAUUACUCGUAGCCUCUUGUAGUGUCCACGUUCGUACUGAUAAAUAUUAGCUACAUUGGCGACGGUAAAGUAAGUAAAGGUUCAUCGAACGCCCCAAAAUAACAACCUGACUCCGACAUAUAGAUACAACGUGCUCGUACAAUAGCGAGUCACCGAUUCCACUUUGUUCGAAUACGUAGAAUUCGUUGUGUUUGCAAUUCCCAAAUCUCGUUCGAUUAUCCUUCUUAUUUUAUCCACGACGUUUCCUCUUUUCUCUCUCCUUUUCAUACCUUCGAUAUCACGAUCUUCGUCUCCCUUUCAGUUUUUCGUAACUAUAGUUUGGCUAUUUUUCUUGUUAAAUCGGAGAAUUGGCUGCACAGAGCCUCGCUGGAAUAUCGUAAUAGCAACCGUUUCGUUGAACGACGUUCGAGUAGUAUCGAGGUGGCCGAAUGGUCAUUGGCCGAUCAACAAGUGGCUCAUGAUUUUGUCAGUGGCUCUGCAAGCGACUAACCCCGCUGGCCGGCCUGUUGUCCGACCGUCCGGCUGGCCGACUGUCUGCGUCCGGUUACCCGAUGCGGUCUACCGCUAAAACACUCGUGGCAUUCUCCGACCCAUCUAACUCGUCAUCCAUUAUACUCCUUCGAACCCAUGCUGUUUCGGGAAACCUUGAUCGGUCGAUGUAAUACCAAAAUAUCUGCCCAAUCCAAUCCAAUCCAAUCAAAUUUUCCUCCUUUCGUCGUAUGUUCGACGAGUAUGUAUGGCUUCCGAUCGGAAGCUUACGCUCAUCCGCGAUCAGUUUGCCUCUAGACAACGGCCGAUCAACAACGGAAAACAACGGAACUUUCUAACGAGUAUACGAAGCGUUUCGUACAAUUUCUCGGUUUCCAUAAUCGUUUGCGAUGUUGUUGCCGUCGUCGUUACCGUUGCGAAUAUCGAGGUAUCGAUGCUUAUCGGUCGCGUCUGUUUUGCAAAGCAUCGUGUGCGACACACUUUCUCUAUGAAACAACUUGUCUACGAGCGAAAGAGAAAGCAAGUUUACCAGUAGCGGUCACUUUUCUACCACGCUUAAUUCCUCGGUUCGGCUACGAAAUUAGCUUGUACGGUCGUUGUAACCGUACUCAAAUCGUUUUGAACAUUUCGUACGAAUGGUUGGAAAUAAGCGAGAGACAAGUAUACGGGCAAAGGACGAGCGCACGCGCGUGUGUGUGUCUGUGCGUGCAUGCAUGCGUGCCUUUGGAACGAGCAAGAUAGAAGCCUGCCGGAAGAGACAAAGGAUAGAGAUCGCGAAGAAAUCGAAGGAUAGAAGACGAGGCAAAUGUAUUUUAUUUUCAUCGAGCGGCAGUAACAGCAGCAAACUCUUAAUCAAACGAGUCGCGAUAAGUAAAUUCGAUUACCGACGUUCGUUAGAACGAAUUUACUUUGCGCGCUCGCGAUCAGCAGGAUUUCAAUUUUUGCUUCAACGCGAUAGGUAUAUGUAAAUGUGGUAGAAAUGCAGCACCUAGCCUGUACGUUUGCUUCGAGAGUACACAGACCUACACCCUUUUUUUAUGCUGUUCCAAUCUACGUUUAUUCAUUCUUUUAUGGAUACCAGCUCCCUCGUAGUGUAGGUUCGCCUUUCAUUUUGUUUCAACCACGAGCAGGACCAAAUGAAAAGCUGAAACGGUCAAAGAAGGUAUACCAUCCGAUGCAGAAAUAAAGGUAGCGGCAACGCGAUGUAGCAAGAUCUAUGCCGUUAUACGAUCCGGUGUCGAGGCAUUUUUCACUCUUUAUCCUGGAAACGAGGAGAACGGAAAGAAAACACGAUCCAGAAAUCGGAAGAAGAUGUCGAAAAAAAGACGGUAAACGACUACAACCGGAAAAUGGAGUUGAGAAAGCAAUUGGAGAUAAACGUGUAAAUUGGCCACGGUGACGGGAAAGAAAGGGAUGCUUGAGCCUUCGACCGUGUCAACUCUUCGCGUAUAAGACGUUCAGCUCGAGGAGGUGUGGAUACCGCCUAUACCAAUGUGCAAGUUUACACGAAGAAGAAACCGUGGUUACACUAAGGGGGCCGAGGAGAACGGGUGGGGACCAACUGGCGAAGCCAAAGGAAGAGACGGGGAGUUUGCAAAGUUUCGAGAUUCAAGAGCGCUGCUCUCAAUACGACAAGUUUGUGCAAACAAGAACUUACUUCGAAGGAUGGAUAAUGUCGCAGAUAAAUCAACGAAAUUUAAUAAAUCGACGUCUCUAAGAGUUUCGUUUAAUUGUGUCUUCCUGCGCUCUCUCGAUAAUUUUACCAACUGUCCUUCAUCUUCCUAGUCGCUGCACGUUGUUUUUACACCGAUCACACAGCGAGACAAAAUCGUGUAUGCUUUCGGCAUAGUGAUCGCUACGGGCCACUUACAUAAUAGCUCUUUCCUUUUCUCUUUCUACAAAUCUUAAUCGACAACGAUAGUAGAUUCAUCGCACGACCAUCGAUGCGAAUACUUGACAGCAUCUUUCGUCACUGCGACCACUCGAUAUUGUAUUUUAACAAUAAAUUAAUCUCCUAUGUAUUAUCAUUGAACGAGUCUCCUACGGUCAUUAACUUUGGAAAACCGUUGAUCACUCGUUGCUUCGAUAUUUGCUUCGUAGCAGACAUGUAUUCACAACUAUUACAUAAGCUACAUGUUGACUGGAAAAUUUAGAGAAAUUGCGAUUUCGGUAUCGUAGUAGUAAUAAUAAUAAUAAUAAUGAUAAUAAUAAUAAUAAGGAAAAGGUGUGUAAGAAGAAGAUGAAGAACCAAAAAACAAUGAAACAAGAUAAGGAUAGAAGAAAUAAAAUGACGAAGAAGGAUGAGAAGAAAAUUUAGAAGAAAAAAGGAAAAGGACCAAAAGAGCGAUCAUUCGUUUUCCUUUUAAAACGCGCCAACUUUGGUAUAUUCACCCUUUUCGGGACUAGCUACCCGAGGGAAUCAAUAACCGACGAGGAAGCGACUGUAGAUUCGGGAACUGGUGGAGAGAAGGGGAGACGCGAGGAACCAAAGAGUACCGAGGGGCGUCGCGUCGAGUAGAAGAGCUCCCCGCUGUUCCAGGAGGGUGUCGGAGGGUGCAACAGGGACCGCGAACUUUAGGGUGGAGGUGGCACGCGAGAGAGUCGAAGCUUGGCUCCGCCUCCGGCACGCGACCAGCACGCGACCAUCGCCAUCGACCACGCCGUCGGUCUAAGCCGCCGCCGCCGCCACCACCGCCGCCGCCGCCGCCACCGCCACCGUCACCACCGCCGCCACCGCCACCGCCACCGCCACAGCCGCCACUACUUUACCGUUACCAUUACCACCGCGUCCUUCUCAUCUCCACUAGCUUCAUCUACGAUUACGCAAGGAUCAAACCCCCAUUCGCAUCAGUCUCUGCUCGAUCUCUCACACUCCUAUAUUUUUCCUACUCUUCCUCUGUUCUUUCGUAUCAUUUCCAAUCUUUAAACGAUACAAAUCUCUUUUAUGUUCAUCAUUUCUAUCGCAGAAGGCUUGACCCGUCGAUUUUUCCUUACAACUUUCUUCCACCCUUUUGCUAUUUAUAGCUAUCUUAUUCUUUCUCAACCGUCGUAUCUAUAUAGCCCUGUGUCUAUAUUACCACUAUAAUGAAUUAUCGAACACACAUAUCGUGACAUCAAAUCAAAUAAUUUCGCGAUGAGAAUUUUGCCGUUUAAUGUUCGCAAUUGUUUUAUAGACUAUUCGUCGUGCCAAUAUUUACUCAAUCGAUUUCUUCUUCGUUAUAAUCGUAAUAACUUCGAUAUGCUAAUUGUAAAAAGACCGACGCAGAGAAAUCGAGAAAAAUCGCGCGUUUUAUUUUCAUUUAUCAUAUUUUCUUUUCGAUAUAUAUCCGUACUUUUCUCGCGAUUCAUUUUUAUCUACCAACUAACCAGUCGAGCAACCACUUACAAUCAAUCCGUCGAUUAAUCAAUCGCUCAGUUGUCGGUCAGUCAAUCGAUGAAUGAGCUAUACAGCGAACCAAUCAGUUAAAUAACCAGUUAGUCAUCCAGUUAGACAGCUUGUAUUCUGUCUUCUACCAACCUUGUAUCAUCGGCUUCUUUCUAUUCUAUUCUACUCUCGUGUAAUCAAUUUCAAACUUAAAUGAAAUACUCUGGUGAAAUAUGAGGCUCAUUUCCGUCUCCCCACCUUCUCUUCUUUCCUCGCACAACUUUUUCCAUUUACUCAAUUUUUUUUGUUUCGUUUCACUCGUGGAUUACCUCGUUCAAUUUUUCUUUUUUUACCGCAAUUGAAACCACUACUGCUUGUUAUUUUUUCAGAUUUAUUAUUUUCAGAGAUCGUCUACUAAAUUUUUGAUAAAAAGUAGUAAAAAAAAAGGGAGACACAGUUCUGUGGUACGGAGCUUCUAGCGUUAAGCGAUGUGUAAGCGACCGCGGAAGAAUGAUACGUAAAGACAAAGUGCGAAUAACGGAAUAUUCGACUUAAGCAAGUACAUCUAUUUUCUUUUUAUUGACAAUAAUAAUAAAUAUAAAAAAAACAACUCGUAUAUAGUAAUUAGCAUAACGAAGAAUAUCGCACUGUAUAUGGUUUAUAAAUUGUAUAACCACACACGCAUACACACACACAUAUAAACUAUCUGACUAGCAUCAUUCAUUCGCUUUUCUUACCGUUCUUAUCUACUCCACCUUCUCACCAUUCUAUCAUUCACUUUUGUUUUAAGCUUUCAAAAGAAAAAAAGCUAAAAAUACUUCAAUGCGAAAUUAAAUUUCAAGAGGAUGCGAGCAAGUAACAAAACUUCUUUUUCUUUGGAACAAAACAAUGAGACGUCGCGACUCAACUAUGAGUUUAAAAUAAAUGACAUAAAUUCAUACCAAUACGAUUUAAGGGUUUAAUGAAUCUUUUUUAAUCGUAUCCAUCAAAACCUUAAACGUUUAAUUAAUCCUUUUCCUCCUGCUCAUCGUCUUUAAAGAUACAUUAAAAAGCAAUCU